GGAGACGUGCGGGAGUGGACUAACCGGCACGCCUGGAGAGCGUGUGACCCCGCGAGGGGUCCAAGGGUUCAAAUCCCUUCGUCUCCG
RNAcentral lists this transfer RNA (87 nucleotides) under Actinomycetota bacterium. Its description in RNAcentral is "tRNA-Ser". It matches the Rfam family "tRNA". From Rfam's summary of the family: Transfer RNA (tRNA) molecules are approximately 80 nucleotides in length. Their secondary structure includes four short double-helical elements and three loops (D, anti-codon, and T loops). Further hydrogen bonds mediate the characteristic L-shaped molecular structure. tRNAs have two regions of fundamental functional importance: the anti-codon, which is responsible for specific mRNA codon recognition, and the 3' end, to which the tRNAs corresponding amino acid is attached (by aminoacyl-tRNA synthetases). tRNAs cope with the degeneracy of the genetic code in two manners: having more than one tRNA (with a specific anti-codon) for a particular amino acid; and 'wobble' base-pairing, i.e. permitting non-standard base-pairing at the 3rd anti-codon position. Lineage: Bacteria; Bacillati; Actinomycetota. The record is from RNAcentral.